Molecule: ribosomal RNA, 276 nt
Filed under: uncultured bacterium
Lineage: Bacteria
Description: partial 16S ribosomal RNA
Rfam family: Bacterial small subunit ribosomal RNA
Source: RNAcentral
UACUGCCUACGGGAGGCAGCAGUGAGGAAUAUUGGUCAAUGGUCGGGAGACUGAACCAGCCAAGCCGCGUGAGGGAGGAAGGUACAGAGUAUCGUAAACCUCUUUUGUCAGGGAACAAAGGCGGGGACGUGUCCCCGGAUGAGUGUACCUGAAGAAAAAGCAUCGGCUAACUCCGUGCCAGCAGCCGCGGUAAUACGGAGGAUGCGAGCGUUAUCCGGAUUUAUUGGGUUUAAAGGGAGCGGAGGUGGAUUGUUAAGUCAGUUGGGAAAGUUUGUG